RNAcentral lists this ribosomal RNA (429 nucleotides) under Verrucomicrobiota bacterium. RNAcentral describes it as "Verrucomicrobia bacterium partial 16S ribosomal RNA". It matches the Rfam family "Bacterial small subunit ribosomal RNA", at positions 355 to 776 of the family's 1533-position model. Lineage: Bacteria; Pseudomonadati; Verrucomicrobiota. The record is from RNAcentral.
UAGGGAAUCUUCCGCAAUGGACGAAAGUCUGACGGAGCAACGCCGCGUGAGUGAAGAAGGAUUUCGGUUCGUAAAACUCUGUUGUUAGGGAAGAAAAAAUGUAUAGUAACUAUAUACAAAAGAGACGGUACCUAACCAGAAAGCCACGGCUAACUCCGUGCCAGCAGCCGCGGUAAUACGUAGGUGGCAAGCGUUGUCCGGAAUUAUUGGGCGUAAAGCGCGCGCAGGUGGUUUAGAAAGUCUGAUGUGAAAGCCCACGGCUCAACCGUGGAGGGUCAUUGGAAACUAAUAAACUUGAGUGCAGGAGAGAAAAGUGGAAUUCCUAGUGUAGCGGUGAAAUGCGUAGAGAUUAGGAGGAACACCGGUGGCGAAAGCGGCUUUUUGGCCUGCAACUGACACUGAGGCGCGAAAGCGUGGGGAGCAAACAGG